UUACUGUACAUUAUUCCACCGAUCUGAACGCUUUAAGCUUUGUAUUUAAUGUUAUUUAUUUAUUUAGUUAAGCUGUAAAUAGUCUAUUCGUUGUACAUAUUAAUUAAGACAACGGUUAUUUUAGCAUGGGAUUCAUGUGGUGUUUAGAAUGUAAUAUGCAUUUAUAAUAAGUUUCCUAGGCAUUCCUAAUUAUUGAAUGGGUCGAAAUGUCAAAGUUUUAUUUGUACACAGUAAUAAAACAAUAAUUCGUCUAGACGUUUAUUUUAUUUAAAAUUUACUUAUAAUAUUGAUUACGAUAAAUAUAACGACAAUGGAGCCUAUAGUUGGCCACGGUAUAGUAGUUAUACAUAUAAAUAUGUACAGCAGUUACCAGUAGGUAAAUAACAAUAUAAUGGAACAAAUUUAAAUGUCACAGGCUCCUCGACCAAUAUAAUCAAAUAGAAGCGGCGUACGUUUCAGCACAGCCUAUGAUUUUCUUAAUCUAACUAAUGGUGCUAUACGACUGGACUGCCGAGCCUUCCAUAAAACCUGAAAAUUACCAAUAUUGAACUACGAAAACGUUAUGGAAAACUCGAACAUUAUCCGGUAAAUAUAUAGACACAGAGCGGGACUUUAUUUAUCACGGAUUUUAUUGUUUAUUAAACAAUAUACAAUCAGAAAAUUACAGCAAAGAAAA
This is a long non-coding RNA of Cydia amplana, 676 nucleotides long. RefSeq lists it as uncharacterized. The record is from RefSeq and is a predicted model, not a curated record. NCBI's taxonomy places the organism in Eukaryota, Metazoa, Arthropoda, Insecta, Lepidoptera, Tortricidae. The transcript is spliced from 3 exons.